RNAcentral lists this ribosomal RNA (490 nucleotides) under uncultured bacterium. RNAcentral describes it as "partial 16S ribosomal RNA". It matches the Rfam family "Bacterial small subunit ribosomal RNA", at positions 29 to 507 of the family's 1533-position model. The record is from RNAcentral.
AAUGAACGCUGGCGGCAUGCCUUACACAUGCAAGUCGAACGGCAGCAUGACCUAGCUUGCUAGGUUGAUGGCGAGUGGCGAACGGGUGAGUAAUGCAUCGGAACGUGCCUUUUAGUGGGGGAUAACGUAGCGAAAGUUACGCUAAUACCGCAUAUUCUCUGAGGAGGAAAGCAGGGGACCUUCGGGCCUUGCGCUAGAAGAGCGGCCGAUGUCGGAUUAGCUAGUUGGUGAGGUAAAGGCUCACCAAGGCAACGAUCCGUAGCGGGUCUGAGAGGAUGAUCCGCCACACUGGGACUGAGACACGGCCCAGACUCCUACGGGAGGCAGCAGUGGGGAACUUUGGACAAUGGGCGCAAGCCUGAUCCAGCCAUGCCGCGUGAGUGAAGAAGGCCUUCGGGUUGUAAAGCUCUUUCGGCUGGGAAGAAAUCGCACCCUCUAAUACAGGGUGUGGAUGACGGUACCAGCAUAAGAAGCACCGGCUAACUACGUG